UACUGAGGGUGCAAGCGUUAAUCGGAAUUACUGGGCGUAAAGCGCACGUAGGCGGUUUUUUAAGUCAGAUGUGAAAGCCCCGGGCUCAACCUGGGAAUUGCAUUUGAAACUGGGAAACUAGAGUGUGUGAGAGGGGGGUAGAAUUCCAAGUGUAGCGGUGAAAUGCGUAGAGAUUUGGAGGAAUACCAGUGGCGAAGGCGGCCCCCUGGCACAACACUGACGCUCAGGUGCGAAAGCGUGGGGAGCAAACAGG
This 253-nucleotide ribosomal RNA is filed under the name uncultured bacterium. RNAcentral's name for it is "partial 16S ribosomal RNA". It matches the Rfam family "Bacterial small subunit ribosomal RNA", at positions 524 to 776 of the family's 1533-position model. The record is from RNAcentral.